GAUGAACGCUGGCGGCGUGCUUAACACAUGCAAGUCGAACGGGGAACAAAUUAUUGAAGCUUCGGCAGAUCUAGCUUGUUCCUAGUGGCGGACGGGUGAGUAAYGCGUGGGUAACCUGCCUCGCACUGGGGGAUAACAGUCAGAAAUGGCUGCUAAUACCGCAUAAGCGCACAGUACCGCAUGGUACAGUGUGAAAAACUCCGGUGGUGUGAGAUGGACCCGCGUUGGAUUAGCUAGUUGGCAGGGCAGCGGCCUACCAAGGCGACGAUCCAUAGCCGGCCUGAGAGGGUGAACGGCCACAUUGGGACUGAGACACGGCCCAGACUCCUACGGGAGGCAGCAGUGGGGAAUAUUGCACAAUGGGGGAAACCCUGAUGCAGCGACGCCGCGUGAAGGAAGAAGUAUCUCGGUAUGUGAACUUCUAUCAGCAGGGAAGAAAAUGACGGUACCKACUAWGAGCCCCGYYUMCUUYCG
Molecule: ribosomal RNA, 474 nt
Filed under: uncultured bacterium
Lineage: Bacteria
Description: bacterial SSU rRNA
Rfam family: Bacterial small subunit ribosomal RNA
Source: RNAcentral